GGUUAAGCGACUAAGCGUACACGGUGGAUGCCCUGGCAGUCAGAGGCGAUGAAGGACGUGCUAAUCUGCGAAAAGCGUCGGUAAGGUGAUAUGAACCGUUAUAACCGGCGAUGUCCGAAUGGGGAAACCCAGUGCAAUUCGUUGCACUAUCGUUAACUGAAUACAUAGGUUAACGAGGCGAACCGGGGGAACUGAAACAUCUAAGUACCCUGAGGAAAAGAAAUCAACCGAGAUUCCCCCAGUAGCGGCGAGCGAACGGGGAGCAGCCCAGAGUCUGAAUCAGCUUGUGUGUUAGUGGAACGGUCUGGAAAGUCCGACGGUACAGGGUGAUAGUCCCGUACACCAAAAUGCACAGGUUGUGAACUCGAAGAGUAGGGCGGGACACGUGGUAUCCUGUCUGAAUAUGGGGGGACCAUCCUCCAAGGCUAAAUACUACUGACUGACCGAUAGUGAACCAGUACCGUGAGGGAAAGGCGAAAAGAACCCCGGCGAGGGGAGUGAAAAAGAACCUGAAACCGUGUACGUACAAGCAGUGGGAGCACCUUCGGGUGUGACUGCGUACCUUUUGUAUAAUGGGUCAGCGACUUAUAUUCUGUAGCAAGGUUAACCGUAUAGGGGAGCCGCAGGGAAACCGAGUCUUAACUGGGCGUUAAGUUGCAGGGUAUAGACCCGAAACCCGGUGAUCUAGCCAUGGGCAGGUUGAAGGUUGGGUAACACUAACUGGAGGACCGAACCGACUAAUGUUGAAAAAUUAGCGGAUGACUUGUGGCUGGGGGUGAAAGGCCAAUCAAACCGGGAGAUAGCUGGUUCUCCCCGAAAGCUAUUUAGGUAGCGCCUCGUGAAUUCAUCUUCGGGGGUAGAGCACUGUUUCGGCUAGGGGGUCAUCCCGACUUACCAACCCGAUGCAAACUACGAAUACCGAAGAAUGUUAUCACGGGAGACACACGGCGGGUGCUAACGUCCGUCGUGAAGAGGGAAACAACCCAGACCGCCAGCUAAGGUCCCAAAGUCAUGGUUAAGUGGGAAACGAUGUGGGAAGGCACAGACAGCCAGGAUGUUGGCUUAGAAGCAGCCAUCAUUUAAAGAAAGCGUAAUAGCUCACUGGUCGAGUCGGCCUGCGCGGAAGAUGUAACGGGGCUAAACCAUGCACCGAAGCUGCGGCAGCGACACUAUGUGUUGUUGGGUAGGGGAGCGUUCUGUAAGCCUGCGAAGGUGACCUGUGAGGGUUGCUGGAGGUAUCAGAAGUGCGAAUGCUGACAUAAGUAACGAUAAAGCGGGUGAAAAGCCCGCUCGCCGGAAGACCAAGGGUUCCUGUCCAACGUUAAUCGGGGCAGGGUGAGUCGACCCCUAAGGCGAGGCCGAAAGGCGUAGUCGAUGGGAAACAGGUUAAUAUUCCUGUACUUGGUGUUACUGCGAAGGGGGGACGGAGAAGGCUAUGUUAGCCGGGCGACGGUUGUCCCGGUUUAAGCAUGUAGGCUGGUUAUCCAGGCAAAUCCGGAUAAUCAAGGCUGAGGUGUGAUGACGAGGCACUACGGUGCUGAAGUAACAAAUGCCCUGCUUCCAGGAAAAGCCUCUAAGCAUCAGGUAACAUCAAAUCGUACCCCAAACCGACACAGGUGGUCGGGUAGAGAAUACCAAGGCGCUUGAGAGAACUCGGGUGAAGGAACUAGGCAAAAUGGUGCCGUAACUUCGGGAGAAGGCACGCUGGUGUGUAGGUGAAGUCCCUGCGGAUGGAGCUGAGACCAGUCGAAGAUACCAGCUGGCUGCAACUGUUUAUUAAAAACACAGCACUGUGCAAACACGAAAGUGGACGUAUACGGUGUGACGCCUGCCCGGUGCCGGAAGGUUAAUUGAUGGGGUUAUCCGUAAGGAGAAGCUCUUGAUCGAAGCCCCGGUAAACGGCGGCCGUAACUAUAACGGUCCUAAGGUAGCGAAAUUCCUUGUCGGGUAAGUUCCGACCUGCACGAAUGGCGUAACGAUGGCGGCGCUGUCUCCACCC
This 1999-nucleotide ribosomal RNA is filed under the name Pseudomonas aeruginosa. RNAcentral's name for it is "partial 23S ribosomal RNA". It matches the Rfam family "Bacterial large subunit ribosomal RNA", at positions 1 to 2027 of the family's 2925-position model. The record is from RNAcentral. Lineage: Bacteria; Pseudomonadati; Pseudomonadota; Gammaproteobacteria; Pseudomonadales; Pseudomonadaceae.